This 377-nucleotide ribosomal RNA is filed under the name uncultured bacterium. RNAcentral describes it as "bacterial SSU rRNA". It matches the Rfam family "Bacterial small subunit ribosomal RNA", at positions 28 to 407 of the family's 1533-position model. The record is from RNAcentral.
GACGAACGCUGGCGGCGUGCUUAACACAUGCAAGUCGAGCGGUAAGGCCCUUUCGGGGGUACACGAGCGGCGAACGGGUGAGUAACACGUGGGUGACCUGCCCUCAGCUCUGGGAUAAGCCUGGGAAACCGGGUCUAAUACUGGAUAUGACUCCAUGACGCAUGUUGUGGGGUGGAAAGCCUUGUGCGGCUGAGGAUGGGCCCGCGGCCUAUCAGCUUGUUGGUGGGGUGANGGCCUACCAAGGCGACGACGGGUAGCCGGCCUGAGAGGGCGACCGGCACACUGGGACUGAGACACGGCCCAGACUCCUACGGGAGGCAGCAGUGGGGAAUCUUGCGCAAUGGGCGAAAGCCUGACGCAGCGACGCCGCGUGAGGG